UGACCUCGGAUCAGACGUGAUUACCCGC
RNAcentral lists this ribosomal RNA (28 nucleotides) under Coeliotrema thynni. RNAcentral's name for it is "partial 28S large subunit ribosomal RNA". RNAcentral also lists the same sequence under 4 other names. Lineage: Eukaryota; Metazoa; Platyhelminthes; Trematoda; Azygiida; Didymozoidae. The record is from RNAcentral.